UGUGUGUGUGUGUGUGUGUGUGUGUAUGUAUAUAUAUAGAGAUAUAUAUAUACACACACACACACACACACACG
Molecule: microRNA precursor, 74 nt
Filed under: Pelobates cultripes (western spadefoot toad)
Lineage: Eukaryota; Metazoa; Chordata; Amphibia; Anura; Pelobatidae
Source: RNAcentral